GGGCACCACCAGGGGGUGCAGCUGCGGCUUAUUUGACUCAACACGGGAAAUCUCACCAGGCCCGGACACCGGAAGGAUUGACAGAUUAACAGCUCUUUCUUGAUUCGGUGGGUGGUGGUGCAUGGCCGUUCUUAGUUGGUGGAGCGAUUUGUCUGGUUAAUUCCGGUAACGAACGAGACUCUAGCCUGCUAAAUAGGCGUCGCCAUUUAGGUGUGCUCGACUUCGGUCGUGCAACUCACUGGCGACGUAUUAAAAUUCUUCUUAGAGGGACCGGCGGCUUCGAGCCGCACGAGAUUGAGCAAUAACAGGUCUGUGAUGCCCUUAGAUGUCCUGGGCCGCACGCGCGCUACACUGAAGGAAUCA
RNAcentral lists this ribosomal RNA (363 nucleotides) under Pithauria stramineipennis. RNAcentral describes it as "SSU rRNA". It matches the Rfam family "Eukaryotic small subunit ribosomal RNA", at positions 1162 to 1514 of the family's 1831-position model. Lineage: Eukaryota; Metazoa; Arthropoda; Insecta; Lepidoptera; Hesperiidae. The record is from RNAcentral.